Lemur catta (Ring-tailed lemur) is the source of this 103-nucleotide small nucleolar RNA. RefSeq annotates it as small nucleolar RNA U13. The record is from RefSeq and is a predicted model, not a curated record. Lineage: Eukaryota; Metazoa; Chordata; Mammalia; Primates; Lemuridae. The transcript has a single exon.
AUCCUUUUGUAGUUCAUAAGCGUGAUGAAAGGGUGUUGACAAGCAUGCGUGAGAUGUGCCCCCCCAAACCCUGUUACGACGUCGACACAUUACCCAUCUGAUG